Molecule: long non-coding RNA, 4021 nt
Organism: Solea solea (common sole)
Lineage: Eukaryota; Metazoa; Chordata; Actinopteri; Pleuronectiformes; Soleidae
Exons: 3
Source: RefSeq, a predicted model, not a curated record
UGGAGACGAGCCAGUGACGCGCUGAAAAUAACCAGGUUACCACUCAGCACCGGUCCAUUUUGGGGAGGGCCCAACACGAGGGCGCAGCACCAUAUAUCAGCUCCUUCCAGCUGUUUGGGAAUAUCCUGCUCACAUUAUCGAGGCUGCAGCAUGGCAGCAGCAGCAGACUGCCUUCACUCCUCUCCGUCUCUCUGUCUUCUGCUUCCAGAAUGGAUACAGGGUGACUGGCUGUGCUGGCGGGGCUUAAUCACACGCCGCUUUUCUUUCAAGGUAAAAAAGGGUGAGAGGAGAAGACUGGCACAAUUAAGGCGCGACACUGUUGCGUCUCCACAUUUUGCUCUUCUUGGGCAGAGGAGGAGGGGAAGGCAGAGGCCAGGAGGACUGCCCGACUUAUUACCAAAGACAAUUCGCCCUCCACAACCCCAAAAAGGAUAAUCUUGCUCCAUCUGGGAUGCGUUCAACACCAAGUAAUCAGAUAUUACAUGGGGCGGCAGUGGCGCUGGUUGGACGGUGAAGUUUUACUUGCAGACGCGAUCUCCUCCAGACAACACAGCAGACAGACUGUCGGCGCGUUUUACGCAGGUCUCCAUAUGGGCUGUGGAUGCUGACACCUGCCCGGUACGCAGGUGACACGGACUGGGCAUCACCCACCCACUUCUCCACAAACACUGACAGGCAGCAGGUCAGUGGGCACAUGGAAAAAAAAGGUGACACCUACAGUAUCUCACCGUGACUGAGUGCAAUGGAAUUGGGCUUGCAACCAGAGGGUCACCAGUUCAAAUCCCAGGACAGGUCAAGGGCUGGAAUGCCUCUGAGAUAGCUCAACGGCUCAGAAAUGUGAUGUUGUGCUAACAUGGCUGCCAACAAUAAGACACGAUGACACUGUCCUGUUUUCACUGCUGGAGGCCUCCCAGUAGAAGAGUUCUGUUGAAUGCCUCUUUGCUGCGACAUGGAGACGGGCCCACAACCACCAGCGGAGCAGAGCUGAGCUCUAGAGCGGCGUUAGAGCCCUGCUGGGACCUGCCAGACCCACAGAUUUCACUGCCAGGGGCCUCAGCUCGCAGUCGGUGUGAGUUACAGUCCGCGCUCCCGUCACACACAUUCUAAUACACACUUACACACAGUUCGCUUGAAUGUGUACGCUAUAUAGACAUGUAGGCGCAUGUGCAUAGAUGGCAAAGUAUAUGCAUGUGCACGGAUACAUAAUCGCUUUAUUUACAUGAUCUAAUCAUUUUACUCUGGAAAAACAGGACUUGGAAACUGACUGACAUUGUACUAAAUCUAAUUUCUCUAAAGAGGACUAACACACCCAGAGAACUCUUCUGUUCAUUCCGGCCCAAACAGGACUAGGUGCUCUGUUCCCACCCCCGAGCUUUAACCCAGAAAUAAAAUAAGUCAGUACACAGAAGACAACAGCAGAAACAACAUGGCAAAACCCAGGCCGGUACAUUUCUUUGGACUGACGAGAAGAGCGAGUUUACUCUCCGCCAGCUCAAAGAUUUUAAUAUUUUAGAGUAUUUUAAUAUUUCGUUGAUGGUAGAAGACAGGUGCUCCACAUCCUGGCAAUUAGCCGCCAGCUAAAUCGGAAACAUCCUAAUAUAAACAAACUGAGAGAGGGCAUAUCGUCACUCAGCGUUGUGGAGGCGGUAGGACAGUAACCCAGUUCAACCAGUAAGGUUCAGGAUCCGUCAGGAUCAGUUUAUGGUCAGGGUCUGGCAGCAGCUGGAUUGAUCAGUCUGCGUUAACAGGUUUGGUGGAAUGGUAGAACUGACAUUCGUGUGAUUAAGAGGUUUGCAGAAGACUUAUAUGUGUGUGUGUGUGUGUGUGUGUUUCUGUGCGAGUGAGUGAGGAGAAAGCAUAAAUACUUGACUAUAAUAUAUUGUCUAAAGUCAAUGAUAAUGUGUACCAGCUGCAUAGCUUUUUAUUAACUUUAAUAAUUGAGGAAAAUCGUGAAAUCUGUGUUUAAAUUUUUAUUUGUUUUUUUACGGCAGCAAAACUUGUUUUUAGGGCAGCUGCAAUAUUCAUCUCUUUUAUUCAGGUUCUCUUUUUUAUAUUGUGUGAAUUAUACAUCCUUUGUUCGCUGUUUUUUUUGUCUCUGUCGUUCUGUGUAUUGUUCUGCAGCUGUUGUAGCCCAAUAAAAACUUCCCUGUGGUGACAAUAAAUUUGAUUUGAUUUGAUUGAUUUGCUGAUGAGAUCUGAUCCCACAAGCUUCUUUUUGGGAUAAGAAAAAUGUAUGUAAGUAAUAAUUAGACGCAGCAAGCAUCCGCAUUGAGGAGGCACUGAAAAGUAUCCUAAAAUGGUUAAUGAAGAUGUCUUUAUUAAUUAUAGAAUAUAUUUCACAUCGUUUUCAACACGUUGCGAGUGCGUGCACGCUCGUUUCAACUUCAUCCAUUUUAAUGCCAGAGCCUUCACCGAAAAGGCAGAAAAUGUUCAAAGAGAGGGAAGAAAAUCUGGACUUAGCACAGCCUGAAACUAACCAAGUGUCGUGAUAGCUUUCAAAUCACUUCAACUGUUGAUAAGUGCCAGGAUGACAUAUUGAUCACUGCUAUAUACCCUCUCCUCUCCUCUCCUCUCCUCUCCUGCCAGCAGUGUUGUGUAUUCCAGCAACCAGCGCCCCAAGCAAGUAUGCAUCCAGUAGGAAAAAGGUGAAAUCCUGGUAGUGCCAGGCAGCUAUAUUCUUUUUCUUCUUCUUUUUUUCCCCCCACUGUGCAGCCAAACACAAGGUGUAGACAAAAAAAAUGCAGUUUGUAAGCAGGGGCUGUUUAUUUUAACUCUCUCUAUACAUGUGGCUGGGAUGUGGAAAGAGCAAUAUGUGCACCGAGGACAGCACGCGGCAUGCGACCUGACAAUAGUACUAUUAUAAUAAGAUAUACUGUAAAUAAUAUGGCUUUGUCGGUCGGGUUCGGGUUGCAACUAGCGGCCACAUGCGUACACACAUACAAAUUCACACACACACACAUAUUUGUAUGAAGAAAGGGUAAACAAAAUCUAUAAUUUAUGAAGGCCCCAGGUUAAACAGAACUUGGUAAAGGUAUAAAAAAAAACAUAUUUGUUUAACACCUGACGUGCUGUGUCAGACACCGUGUAUUUCUAACAACUUUGAAUAAUUGAAUUUUAUAUGUCAUUUAUUUCAUAUUACCAAAACAGUAUAUAAAAUCCUAACGUCAGACAUGUUAUAAAUAUGGAGCAGAGAGGAAAAGAAUAAAACAAACAAAGAACCUGUACUUACAUGUUUGAUUUUGUGAAUAUAAUAAUUAAUAUUAACUCUGUAUCACAUAAACUGUUUGGUAUCUCACUCUGUACAUGUGAAUGUGCUGUGGUUGGUGUAUUCACGAGGGAGUUGUUUUAGGGCUCGGCCCAGUCAUAACACACUUACUCAUACUUUGAAAAGUCAGUUUACAGAUAGGCUACUCGACGGUCACUCCCAAACAUGUGUAUAUUUUGUAAUGUGGAUAUUUCUUCCCACAUGAACACAGUGGCUACAUUUAUAAAUUGUCUGCUAACUCGAUGUAACUGUUCUUGUUACGUUAACAAAUGGUCUGUGGUCUGGUGGUUUGUGUGUGUGGACUGAGACGAAGUCAAAUUCCCGAUCUGAUAUUUCAGUCCAUGUCUGUGUGAUAUGAGGAGUCCACCGUGAACACGCGGACGGAAUGGAAUUGUGGCAUUAAAUUAAAGCUCCUAAAGUAUUUAUUAAUAAGAUGUUAAGCUAUAAUGAUUAAAGUGGUUAAUAAGAACCAUGUAUGUGUCUGUUUAAAGUCAGAAAGAAACUGGAAAACAGUUCAGUCUGUAUCUGAGGUACUGUAGUUUCUUUUUCCUCUAAUGCAUGAUAAUGUGAGCUUGUUUUUUUCUGUUUCUUUUUAAUGUGUGCAUAUGUGUGACACAUGUUUCUCUUUCUUUGGUGGGGAAAGGUAUGACUGCGUGUUUUGCGGUUUAAUAUGAGUAUUACUGUUGUCACUGUCGAUUCCUCUGUGUGAUAUGUAUGAUAAAUUCAAUAAAGACAUAACAUUUAAAUUAAAGAUAA